Molecule: ribosomal RNA, 497 nt
Filed under: uncultured bacterium
Lineage: Bacteria
Description: partial 16S ribosomal RNA
Rfam family: Bacterial small subunit ribosomal RNA
Source: RNAcentral
GAUGAACGCUGGCGGCGUGCCUAAUACAUGCAAGUCGAGCGAACAGACGAGGAGCUUGCUCCUCUGACGUUAGCGGCGGACGGGUGAGUAAGACGUGGAUAAGCUACCUAUAAGACUGGGAUAACUUCGGGAAACCGGAGCUAAUACCGGAUAAUAUAUUGAACCGCAUGGUUCAAUAGUGAAAGACGGUUUUGCUGUCACUUAUAGAUGGAUCCGGGCCGGAUUAGCUAGUUGGUAAGGUAACGGCUUACCAAGGCAACGAUGCGUAGCCGACCUGAGAGGGUGAUCGGCCACACUGGAACUGAGACACGGUCCAGACUCCUACGGGAGGCAGCAGUAGGGAAUAUUCCACAAUGGGCGAAAGCCUGACGGAGCAAUGCCGCGUGAGUGAUGAAGGUCUUCGGAUCGUAAAACUCUGUUAUUAGGGAAGAACAAAUGUGUAAGUAACUAUGCACGUCUUGACGGUACCUAAUCAGAAAGCCACGGCUAACUACGUG